AGUAUAUCAGAAGAAAAGCGAAUUUGUUGGUCCUGAUUUCUCUCAUCUGUGACGUGACAGUGUUCUGUAUGUUGUUUUUCAACAACAGAUAGUCUCCUUUUGACAACUUGUACCUUCUCUGAAACCUGCUUGCUUGAGAGAUACUCAAUGAAUUCUGAGAGUUUGCACUACUCCAGGAUAUCUCUGAACCAUAGGUGGAUCUAAAUCAGCCACUCUGUAGGAAGAGGAUUUCUUUUCUGAUAAGAGAGGUGUACAGUGUUUCCUACUACAGUUAAGCACACAUUUAGAUAGGAGAGAGAAAUGAAUCAUCAAUUCCAAAGAAGCUCUGAAGGAGCACCAGGAACCAUGGUUUCUCAGUCUGUCUGAAAGCUGGCUGCAACCCCUGACAGCUAUUGGCCAAGAAAAAUUAUUAUACCCACUCCAAUUCACUGUAACUGCCUA
Molecule: non-coding RNA, 441 nt
Organism: Myodes glareolus (Bank vole)
Lineage: Eukaryota; Metazoa; Chordata; Mammalia; Rodentia; Cricetidae
Source: RefSeq, a predicted model, not a curated record